RNAcentral lists this ribosomal RNA (516 nucleotides) under uncultured bacterium. Its description in RNAcentral is "partial 16S ribosomal RNA". It matches the Rfam family "Bacterial small subunit ribosomal RNA", at positions 28 to 523 of the family's 1533-position model. The record is from RNAcentral.
GACGAACGCUGGCGGCGUGCCUAAUACAUGCAAGUCGAGCGGACUUGAAGAGAAGCUUGCUUCUCUGAUGGUUAGCGGCGGACGGGUGAGUAACACGUAGGCAACCUGCCUGUAAGACUGGGAUAACUACCGGAAACGGUAGCUAAUACUGGCUAGGUGAUUUUCUCGCAUGGGGGAGUCAAGAAAGACGGAGCAAUCUGUCACUUACGGAUGGGCCUGCGGCGCAUUAGCUAGUUGGUGAGGUAAUGGCUCACCAAGGCGACGAUGCGUAGCCGACCUGAGAGGGUGGACGGCCACACUGGGAAUGAGACACGGCCCAGACUCCUACGGGAGGCAGCAGUAGGGAAUCUUCCGCAAUGGACGAAAGUCUGACGGAACAACGCCGCGUGAGUGAUGAAGGUUUUCGGAUCGUAAAGCUCUGUUGCCAGGGAAGAACGUCUUAGAGAGUAACUGCUCUAAGAGUGACGGUACCUGAGAAGAAAGCCCCGGCUAACUACGUGCCAGCCGCCGCUGUAA